This 478-nucleotide ribosomal RNA is filed under the name uncultured bacterium. Its description in RNAcentral is "bacterial SSU rRNA". It matches the Rfam family "Bacterial small subunit ribosomal RNA", at positions 501 to 981 of the family's 1533-position model. The record is from RNAcentral.
CUACGUGCCAGCAGCCGCGGUAAUACGUAUGUCACGAGCGUUAUCCGGAUUUAUUGGGCGUAAAGCGCGUCUAGGUGGUUAUGUAAGUCUGAUGUGAAAAUGCAGGGCUCAACUCUGUAUUGCGUUGGAAACUGCAUGACUAGAGUACUGGAGAGGUAAGCGGAACUACAAGUGUAGAGGUGAAAUUCGUAGAUAUGUGCAGGAAUGCCGAUGAUGAAGAUAGUUCACUGGACGGUAACUGACGCUGAAGUGCGAAAGCUAGGGGAGCAAACAGGAUUAGAUACCCUGGUAGUCCUAGCUGUAAACGAUGAUUACUGGGUGUGGGCAUGAAGAGUGUCCGUGCCGAAGCUAAUGCGAUAAGUAAUCCGCCUGGGGAGUACGGCCGCAAGGCUGAAACUCAAAGGAAUUGACGGGGGCCCGCACAAGCGGAGGAACAUGUGGUUUAAUUCGAUGAUACGCGAGGAACCUUACCCGGGCU